This is a non-coding RNA of Dipodomys ordii (Ord's kangaroo rat), 70 nucleotides long. NCBI's taxonomy places the organism in Eukaryota, Metazoa, Chordata, Mammalia, Rodentia, Heteromyidae. The record is from Rfam.
GGGAAGGUGGCUCAGUGGUAGAGCGCUUGCCUUGCAUACAUGAGGCCCUGAGUUCGAUUCCUCAGCGCCA